Helianthus annuus (common sunflower) is the source of this 1728-nucleotide RNA transcript. It is a transcript of the gene named coleoptile phototropism protein 1-like, with no coding region annotated. NCBI's taxonomy places the organism in Eukaryota, Viridiplantae, Streptophyta, Magnoliopsida, Asterales, Asteraceae. The transcript is spliced from 6 exons. The record is from RefSeq and is a predicted model, not a curated record.
GGGGAUAGAGUCGAAGGAACGGAUUGUGGUAUGCUUUUUGGUAUUUCGGGAUCUCAUUUAGUUUCUAAUUCAUGAGAUUAGUGGUCUUGGCUUCUUGAUGAUUCGGGUACGUUUUUGGUCCGCAUCUUAAAAUAAUGAUUUGUACUAAAAAGGUUUGGGCAGCCGGGUAAUGCUAUUCAUUGGAACAAAUGGGUUCCUAUGAAAGUGGGCAUUUUGUCAUGGAGGGAAAAGGCUUCCAAGGAGGUGUGCUUUAGCAUGUCGAAACGUUAAUCUGGCUUCCACGAUCUGCCCUGUGUGUAGUGAAGCAUCGGAGAUGGCUGAGUUUAUCUAUAUAACUAUAUAAAGCCCUGUGUGGAAGUGGCGGCUCGGUUGUCAAGGUUGUUGUGUUGGAUAGUGGUGGUGUCAGUGGAGGUUGGUUGUGGUGGUGGUGGUGAAGGCAACAACAGUGGAUUGAACACUGGCGACGAUGGCAAAAAAGGGUUCUGGCGGGUAUUUUGGUUACCAGGAAAUUUGGCACGAUCUGAUCUUGAUUUUUAGACCGAAAUCGAAGCUACACGCCCUCUGGAAUCACACUGUUAGCCAUAAAACCAAAGUUGCAAGUGAUCGGAACCUCACACACACUGUUUUCACAGUGUUAUCACGGUCAAUCCCUGAUGCUGCUAGACCGGUACAUGAUGCAAUCUAUGGCGCUGUUGACGUUUACUUGAAAGAACACCCGACGUUAACGGAAGUCGAAAGGAAGAAAGUUUGUGAGUUAAUUGAUGUGAAAAAGUUGUCAGCAGACGCGUCCAUACACGCUGCACAGAACGAUCGGCUUCUGCUGCGAAUGGUGGUGCAGAUCCUGUUUCACGAGCAGGUUCGAGCCACUACUGUGAUCAAAGAGGCAGCACGUGGCAACCGGGCGCUGGAACAAGACUGGGAGAUUAAAAUGCCGCUGCGUUCUAAGUAGCUAAGAACACCUUCACGGAUGAGGUUUACGGAUGGGGAUGUGAAGGAGGUGUCGAGUGGUGGUAGCAUGCGGUUGCUGCCAUCGAGUUCACGGAGGUUUUUGGAUAGGUUUUGGGUGGUGGGGAUGGGUCAGCGGCACGGAGAGACCCGGACGUCUGGUAGUUCGCAAUCUAAGUUUUCGAGUUCAUCGUCAAGGAAACAGAGAAACAAUAAUUUUCUGGAUAUGGAGGGUGAUACAUAGAGUCUUCGCAAAAGAGUGGAUAAUCUUAAGAAUUUAUAAAGGGGGUUGAUACUGAUGAUGGCUUUGACUUUAUUAGGAGAACGCUUGAGGAGCACUUUGGGCAAUGCGAAGAGAUUUCAAGCAUGUCUAUUCUUAAAGAUGUUGAAUUUGGUAGUUCUAAAGGGUAGGCUUUUUAUUCUCCUCCGCAAGCGUGCGUUCAUCGCCGGCAUGCACUAAUACAUCAACCACAACAAUUAUUCUGGCGAGAAUAUUUUCUUGUGACUAUAGGUUUGGGAUGUAGCAACUGGUACAAAGGAAUACACUUUUGAAGGUGAUAAUAAUGCUCCCGUUUAUUCCGUAUACCCUCACUUCAAGGAAAACAUUCAGGUAAACUGGUCGGAUGAGUGGAGCGGGGUCAAGCGGAUUGGAAGUCGCCUAAAGUGUGAAACUGUAUAAAAUCAAGUUUAGAGGGAUUUGAAUAAUUUUCUGUUUGUUUCGUCCAAUGUAUGCGUUUGUACAGAAUAUUACAGUUCAAAGUAAAUAAUAUGGUUUUGGUUGAA